UACAGAGGGUGCAAGCGUUAAUCGGAUUUACUGGGCGGAAAGCGCGCGUAGGUGGCCAAUUAAGUCAAAUGUGAAAUCCCCGAGCUUAACUUGGGAAUUGCAUUCGAUACUGGUUGGCUAGAGUAUGGGAGAGGAUGGUAGAAUUCCAGGUGUAGCGGUGAAAUGCGUAGAGAUCUGGAGGAAUACCGAUGGCGAAGGCAGCCAUCUGGCCUAAUACUGACACUGAGGUGCGAAAGCAUGGGGAGCAAACAGG
This 253-nucleotide ribosomal RNA is filed under the name uncultured bacterium. Its description in RNAcentral is "partial 16S ribosomal RNA". It matches the Rfam family "Bacterial small subunit ribosomal RNA", at positions 524 to 776 of the family's 1533-position model. The record is from RNAcentral.